UGGGGAAUAUUGGACAAUGGGCGCAAGCCUGAUCCAGCCAUGCCGCGUGGGUGAUGAAGGCCCUAGGGUUGUAAAGCCCUUUCGGCGGGGAAGAUAAUGACGGUACCCGCAGAAGAAGCCCCGGCUAACUUCGUGCCAGCAGCCGCGGUAAUACGAAGGGGGCUAGCGUUGCUCGGAAUCACUGGGCGUAAAGCGCACGUAGGCGGAUUGCUAAGUCAGGGGUGAAAUCCUGGAGCUCAACUCCAGAACUGCCCUUGAUACUGGCGAUCUCGAGUCCGGGAGAGGUGAGUGGAACUGCGAGUGUAGAGGUGAAAUUCGUAGAUAUUCGCAAGAACACCAGUGGCGAAGGCGGCUCACUGGCCCGGUACUGACGCUGAGGUGCGAAAGCGUGGGGAGCAAACAGG
This 404-nucleotide ribosomal RNA is filed under the name Bacillota bacterium. RNAcentral describes it as "Firmicutes bacterium partial 16S ribosomal RNA". It matches the Rfam family "Bacterial small subunit ribosomal RNA", at positions 355 to 776 of the family's 1533-position model. Lineage: Bacteria; Bacillati; Bacillota. The record is from RNAcentral.